RNAcentral lists this ribosomal RNA (485 nucleotides) under uncultured bacterium. RNAcentral describes it as "bacterial SSU rRNA". It matches the Rfam family "Bacterial small subunit ribosomal RNA", at positions 29 to 508 of the family's 1533-position model. The record is from RNAcentral.
AACGAACGCUGGCGGCGUGGAUAAGACAUGCAAGUCGAACGGGACAUUAUUUGUAGCAAUACAGAUGAUGUUCAGUGGCGCAAGGGUGAGUAACACGUGAGCAACCUGCCUUGAAGUGGGGGAUAGCUCGCCGAAAGGCGAAUUAAUACCGCAUGUGGUAGUAAUACUAAAGCCGGGGCAACCUGGCGCUUCUAGAGGGGCUCGCGGCCUAUCAGCUAGUUGGUAAGGUAAUGGCUUACCAAGGCUAUGACGGGUAGCUGGUCUGAGAGGACGACCAGCCACACUGGAACUGAGACACGGUCCAGACACCUACGGGUGGCAGCAGUCGAGAAUUUUUCUCAAUGGGGGAAACCCUGAAGGAGCGACGCCGCGUGGAGGAUGAAGGUCUUCGGAUUGUAAACUCCUGUCAUUGGUGAACAAAGUCACAGGUUAACUGCCUUGUGAUCUGCUAGUAGCCGAAGAGGAAGGGACGGCUAACUCUGUGC